CCCUUAGAUGUCCGGGGCUGCACGCGCGCUACACUGAAGGAAUCAGCGUGCUAAAACCAUUGUCGAAAGGCAUUGGUAAACCCAUUAAAAUCCUACGUGAUUGGGAUCGGGAAUUGCAAUUAUUUCCCUUGAACGAGGAAUUCCCAGUAAGUGUGGGUCAUAAGCUCGCGUUGAUUACGUCCCUGCCCUUUGUACACACCGCCCGUCGCUGCCCGGGACUGAGCCGUUUCGAGAAAAGCGGGGACUGCUGCUGUCGGGGCUUUCGGGCCUUGGCUUCGGUGGAAACCGCUUUAAUCGCAGUGGCUUGAACCGGGCAAAANUCGUAACA
This 328-nucleotide ribosomal RNA is filed under the name uncultured eukaryote. RNAcentral describes it as "partial 18S ribosomal RNA". It matches the Rfam family "Eukaryotic small subunit ribosomal RNA", at positions 1470 to 1796 of the family's 1831-position model. The record is from RNAcentral.